RNAcentral lists this ribosomal RNA (253 nucleotides) under uncultured bacterium. RNAcentral describes it as "partial 16S ribosomal RNA". It matches the Rfam family "Bacterial small subunit ribosomal RNA", at positions 524 to 776 of the family's 1533-position model. The record is from RNAcentral.
UACGAAGGGGGCUAGCGUUGCUCGGAAUCACUGGGCGUAAAGCGCACGUAGGCGGCUUGUUAAGUCAGGGGUGAAAUCCUGGAGCUCAACUCCAGAACUGCCUUUGAUACUGGCGAUCUUGAGUCCGGGAGAGGUGAGUGGAACCGCGAGUGUAGAGGUGAAAUUCGUAGAUAUUCGCAAGAACACCAGUGGCGAAGGCGGCUCACUGGCCCGGUACUGACGCUGAGGUGCGAAAGCGUGGGGAGCAAACAGG